Molecule: unclassified non-coding RNA, 342 nt
Filed under: soil metagenome
Description: partial contains 5.8S ribosomal RNA, internal transcribed spacer 2, and large subunit ribosomal RNA
Rfam family: 5.8S ribosomal RNA (bases 1-120)
Source: RNAcentral
GAUGAAGAACGCAGCGAAAUGCGAUAAGUAGUGUGAAUUGCAGAAUUCAGUGAAUCAUCGAAUCUUUGAACGCACAUUGCGGCCAUAGGUAUUCCUUUGGCCAUGCCUGUUCGAGCGUCAUUUACACCCUCAAGCCUAGCUUGGUGUUGGGCGCCUGUCCCGCCGUUUUCGCGCGCGGACUCGCCUCAAAGUCAUUGGUGGCGGUCGUGCCGGCCCCCUCGCGCAGCACAUUUGCGCUUCUCGGAGGCCCGGCGGAUCCGCGCUCCAGCAAGACCUUUCACGACUUGACCUCGGAUCAGGUAGGGAUACCCGCUGAACUUAAGCAUAUCAAUAAGCGGAGGA